UUUGUCUUUGAAUGAUCUAAAUAUUCUGAAUUUGUGACAUCACAAAGUUACGGAAAUCCCGACAGCUUGUUUUAAAGGCAGAGUUUCUGAAUACGGGCUGUGUGUCUUUCUCCAUGGGUUGAGAGUUUCGAUAUUUUCAUAGUAUUUAUAUAAAACUUAAACGUGUUUUAUAAUAAAGAAAACAUUUUUUUUUACAUUAUGGGACCUUUAAAACGUUCAAAAAAUGAUCUAACAUUAUCAAUAGAAUGUGAAGAAGUAACCGUUUUGAGGUUAUGUCGAAGAAGUCA
Molecule: long non-coding RNA, 287 nt
Organism: Sebastes umbrosus (honeycomb rockfish)
Lineage: Eukaryota; Metazoa; Chordata; Actinopteri; Perciformes; Sebastidae
Exons: 4
Source: RefSeq, a predicted model, not a curated record